CCCCUCUCAGGAUCACACCUGGAGAGUUUCCAGUACUCUACCAUUCUCGACUAAGAGAGGGAGAGUCAAGUGGAGGCAUACCCAUUCCAUUCCUAGCUUGUGCAGUGGCUAGAGAGUGGAAGGUAAUCUGCUACAAAU
Molecule: small nucleolar RNA, 138 nt
Organism: Ornithorhynchus anatinus (platypus)
Lineage: Eukaryota; Metazoa; Chordata; Mammalia; Monotremata; Ornithorhynchidae
Source: RefSeq, a predicted model, not a curated record